Myotis lucifugus (little brown bat) is the source of this 75-nucleotide non-coding RNA. Lineage: Eukaryota; Metazoa; Chordata; Mammalia; Chiroptera; Vespertilionidae. The record is from Rfam.
GGCGGUUCUCAGGUGACGCACCCUGGAAUUGGGCUCCCUCCUCUCUGGUUCUGGGUGCAUCACCUGAGAACCAAA